CGACCUGGUAUUGCAGUACUUCC
RNAcentral lists this non-coding RNA (23 nucleotides) under Cricetulus griseus (Chinese hamster). Lineage: Eukaryota; Metazoa; Chordata; Mammalia; Rodentia; Cricetidae. The record is from RNAcentral.